This is a long non-coding RNA of Mytilus californianus (California mussel), 841 nucleotides long. RefSeq lists it as uncharacterized. The transcript has 3 exons. The record is from RefSeq and is a predicted model, not a curated record. Lineage: Eukaryota; Metazoa; Mollusca; Bivalvia; Mytilida; Mytilidae.
AAUUUUAAUUAAGUCCAUAUGUACAUAGCACACAGGUUCCGGGAAGUUUUACACUCCCACCUAGGACUCUACUAACUCCCGUAUUCGGAAAAAGAAGAACAGUUAGUAUAAUAGUCCCAGUAAAUACACUGGAAAUUUCAGUAGACGGAUAUUAAUAGUAAAUUGCUUGAAAAUCUCCACAAAUUAAUCAUACAAGUAAGCUAAGACUUCUAUAACACGUGUAUUAUAUUAGAUUCAGAAAUUAGGUAAGAUUUUCCUUGUACGAUUUAUUUAUUCCCGACGAUUUUUAAAUAGUAAUCGGUGAGCGUAAAAGUCUAUAAUCCGGAAAAUGAUUCGGAGUCGGUUUUCAUGUUAAAACACUGCUGAGAUCUAGAUCUUGUGACGCAGACGACGAAAGAACGCUGCAGAACAGAUUAACAAGAACCUUUGUAUAUAACAGCUUCAAUGCCUUCAUAAUCAUAGGAAAAGAUGUGGUCUGCCAUUCAGAAGAUGGUUUUCAACUUGCCCAGAAAAUUGACUACAACUUGUGAACUGUCAGUGUCAAUCCAACCGCACAUACAACUAUCCACCACAGCCUGCACAGGCUAAGAACAAUGUCAAUAAUGAUGUCCCCAACGAAACGCCAACGGAAUUGGCUCGUCAGACGUCAGUGAAUGAGACUUAUGACUUUAUGUUCAUGAUUUUCAACAGAACUAUUAAAAAGAAAAAUGGUGCAGAUCAACAGUAUCUGGGAAUUUACUCAUAAAGAAAAGAGAGCUGGAGACUCAAGAGAGGCAGGAAAAGAACAGACCAGGGAAUCACAGAUCCAUAUCAGAUAAUAAAAUUGAAUCGAAAAUUUAAA